RNAcentral lists this ribosomal RNA (562 nucleotides) under Bifidobacterium pseudocatenulatum. RNAcentral's name for it is "bacterial SSU rRNA". It matches the Rfam family "Bacterial small subunit ribosomal RNA", at positions 978 to 1533 of the family's 1533-position model. Lineage: Bacteria; Bacillati; Actinomycetota; Actinomycetes; Bifidobacteriales; Bifidobacteriaceae. The record is from RNAcentral.
GUCUUGACAUCCUUUGACCACUCUAGAGAUAGAGCUUCCCCUUCGGGGGCAAAGUGACAGGUGGUGCAUGGUUGUCGUCAGCUCGUGUCGUGAGAUGUUGGGUUAAGUCCCGCAACGAGCGCAACCCUUAUUGUUAGUUGCCAUCAUUCAGUUGGGCACUCUAGCAAGACUGCCGGUGACAAACCGGAGGAAGGUGGGGAUGACGUCAAAUCAUCAUGCCCCUUAUGACCUGGGCUACACACGUGCUACAAUGGGAAGUACAACGAGUCGCGAAGUCGCGAGGCUAAGCUAAUCUCUUAAAGCUUCUCUCAGUUCGGAUUGUAGGCUGCAACUCGCCUACAUGAAGCCGGAAUCGCUAGUAAUCGCGGAUCAGCACGCCGCGGUGAAUACGUUCCCGGGCCUUGUACACACCGCCCGUCACACCACGAGAGUUUGUAACACCCGAAGUCGGUGAGGUAACCUUUUGGAGCCAGCCGCCUAAGGUGGGAUAGAUGAUUGGGGUGAAGUCGUAACAAGGUAGCCGUAUCGGAAGGUGCGGCUGGAUCACCUCCUUUCUAAGGAA